Molecule: ribosomal RNA, 575 nt
Filed under: uncultured bacterium
Lineage: Bacteria
Description: bacterial SSU rRNA
Rfam family: Bacterial small subunit ribosomal RNA
Source: RNAcentral
CCUACGGGAGGCAGCAGUAAGGAAUAUUGGACAAUGGUCGCAAGACUGAUCCAGCCAUGCCGCGUGCAGGAUGACAGCCCUAUGGGUCGUAAACUGCUUUUGUGCGAGAAAAAACCCCUCUACGUGUAGAGGGCUGAUUGUAUCGUAAGAAUAAGGAUCGGCUAACUCCGUGCCAGCAGCCGCGGUAAUACGGAGGAUCCAAGCGUUAUCCGGAUUCAUUGGGUUUAAAGGGUGCGUAGGCGGAAUGAUAAGUCAGUGGUGAAAGCCUGCAGCUUAACUGCAGAACUGCCAUUGAUACUGUCAAUCUUGAGUACAUUUGAUGUGGGCGGAAUGUGUCAUGUAGCGGUGAAAUGCUUAGAUAUGACACAGAACACCGAUUGCGAAGGCAGCUCACAAAACUGUAACUGACGCUGAGGCACGAAAGCGUGGGUAUCAAACAGGAUUAGAUACCCUGGUAGUCCACGCUGUAAACUAUGAUUACUCGAUGUUUGCGAUACACUGUAAGCGUCUAAGCGAAAGCGAUAGUAAUCCACCUGGGAGUACGCUCGCAGAGUGAAACUUCAAAGGAUUGACGG